RNAcentral lists this small nucleolar RNA (138 nucleotides) under Ornithorhynchus anatinus (platypus). The record is from RNAcentral. Lineage: Eukaryota; Metazoa; Chordata; Mammalia; Monotremata; Ornithorhynchidae.
CCUCUCUCAGAAUCGCACCUGGAGAGUUUCCAGGACUCUACCAGUUUCAGCUACAGGAGGGAGAGUCAAGCAGAGACAUACCCAUUCCAUUUCUAGCUUGGGCAGUGGCUAGCAAGUGGAAGGCAAUCUGCUACAAGU